RNAcentral lists this unclassified non-coding RNA (307 nucleotides) under Hevea brasiliensis (rubber tree). Lineage: Eukaryota; Viridiplantae; Streptophyta; Magnoliopsida; Malpighiales; Euphorbiaceae. The record is from RNAcentral.
AGUUUGCCAUGGGAGCUUUUCUUUGGCCUAACUAGAGACUUUAAUUCUAUUCUGGUCAUUGAUCAUUAUGCUUCUUCCUCUUCUUCUCAGGUGUUUGAGUGUUAUGCUGUUUGAGAUGAAAUGAAAUGCUUGGAUAUCCAUUUUGAAGGGAAGUGCAUGUAUGUAACGUAGCAAUUAAGAAAUGUGUGCUACUGAUAGUGUGUUUAAUAGCUUCUUGUGUUAUUUGCUUUUUUUUUUAAGUGUGAUCAAUUAAUGGGAUUUUCACUUGUUGCCUCCUAAAAAAAAAAAGCAAAUAACACAAGAAGCU